UGAUGAUUCAAUAACCUAACAAAAACCCGGAACCGCCUAGCUGACGGUGGCCGCUAGGCUCAUCAGUCAAGUCAGAUCCACAGAUCAAUCAACUGAAGACAUCUCCAUGGCGUCCCAAGUAGCCCACUGGAAGAGAUCCUGCUGAUAGAGAAAGAGGCAGCCCUGCCCCAUUCUGCAUAUCAUCCUAGUGGGAUGCUUUCUACUCUGGA
Mus caroli (Ryukyu mouse) is the source of this 209-nucleotide long non-coding RNA. RefSeq lists it as uncharacterized. NCBI's taxonomy places the organism in Eukaryota, Metazoa, Chordata, Mammalia, Rodentia, Muridae. The record is from RefSeq and is a predicted model, not a curated record.